GAUCCUGGCUCAGGAUGAACGCUGGCGGCGCGCCUAACACAUGCAAGUCUAACGGCACCCCUCUCCGGAGGGAAGCGAGUGGCGAACGGCUGAGUAACACGUGGAGAACCUGCCCCCUCCCCCGGGAUAGCCGCCCGAAAGGACGGGUAAUACCGGAUACCCCCGGGCGCCGCAUGGCGCCCGGGCUAAAGCCCCGACGGGAGGGGAUAGCUCCGCGGCCCAUCAGGUAGACGGCGGGGUGACGGCCCACCGUGCCGACAACGGGUAGCCGGGUUGAGAG
RNAcentral lists this ribosomal RNA (280 nucleotides) under uncultured bacterium. RNAcentral describes it as "partial 16S ribosomal RNA". It matches the Rfam family "Bacterial small subunit ribosomal RNA", at positions 15 to 298 of the family's 1533-position model. The record is from RNAcentral.